This 433-nucleotide ribosomal RNA is filed under the name uncultured bacterium. Its description in RNAcentral is "partial 16S ribosomal RNA". It matches the Rfam family "Bacterial small subunit ribosomal RNA", at positions 29 to 507 of the family's 1533-position model. The record is from RNAcentral.
AACGAACGCUGGCGGCAUGCCUAACACAUGCAAGUCGAACGAGACCUUCGGGUCUAGUGGCGCACGGGUGCGUAACGCGUGGGAACCUGCCCUUAGGUUCGGAAUAACUCCCCGAAAGGGGUGCUAAUACCGGAUAAUGUCUUAGGACCAAAGAUUUAUCGCCUUUGGAUGGGCCCGCGUUGGAUUAGCUAGUUGGUAGGGUAAAAGCCUACCAAGGCGACGAUCCAUAGCUGGUCUGAGAGGAUGAUCAGCCACACUGGGACUGAGACACGGCCCAGACUCCUACGGGAGGCAGCAGUGGGGAAUAUUGGACAAUGGGCGAAAUCCUGAUCCAGCAAUGCCGCGUGAGUGAUGAAGGCCUUAGGGUUGUAAAGCUCUUUUACCCGGGAUGAUAAUGACAGUACCGGGAGAAUAAGCUCCGGCUAACUCCGUG